UACGUAGGGUGCAAGCGUUAAUCGGAAUUACUGGGCGUAAAGCGCACGUAGGCGGCUUUGUAAGUUAGAGGUGAAAGCCCGGGGCUCAACCCCGGAAUUGCCUUUAAGACUGCAUCGCUAGAAUUGUGGAGAGGUAAGUGGAAUUCCGAGUGUAGAGGUGAAAUUCGUAGAUAUUCGGAAGAACACCAGUGGCGAAGGCGACUUACUGGACACAUAUUGACGCUGAGGUGCGAAAGCGUGGGGAGCAAACAGG
RNAcentral lists this ribosomal RNA (253 nucleotides) under uncultured bacterium. Its description in RNAcentral is "partial 16S ribosomal RNA". It matches the Rfam family "Bacterial small subunit ribosomal RNA", at positions 524 to 776 of the family's 1533-position model. The record is from RNAcentral.